RNAcentral lists this ribosomal RNA (458 nucleotides) under uncultured bacterium. RNAcentral describes it as "bacterial SSU rRNA". It matches the Rfam family "Bacterial small subunit ribosomal RNA", at positions 64 to 507 of the family's 1533-position model. The record is from RNAcentral.
GUACGGGACUUGGGGGCAACUCCAAGUUCAGUGGCAGACGGGUGCGUAACACGUGAAGAACUUGUCCGGUGGCGGGGGAUAGCCGGCCCAACGGCCGGGUAAUACCGCAUACGAUCGCGCGGGGGCAUCUCUGCGCGAGGAAAGCAGCCGCAAGGUUGCGCCGACGGAGAGCUUCGCGGCCUAUCAGCUAGUUGGCGGGGUAAUGGCCCACCAAGGCGACGACGGGUAGCUGGUCUGAGAGGAUGAUCAGCCACAUUGGGACUGAGACACGGCCCAGACUCCUACGGGAGGCAGCAGUGGGGAAUAUUGCGCAAUGGCCGCAAGGCUGACGCAGCGACGCCGCGUGUGGGAUGACGGUCUUCGGAUUGUAAACCACUGUCAGGGGGAACGAAUACAGGGCGUCGAAUAGGCGACCCUGGGUGACGGUACCUCCAAAGGAAGCACCGGCUAACUCCGUG